GUGCAUGUUUCAUGGGCGCAAGCCUGAUCAGCCAUGCCGCGUGUGUGAAGAAGGCCUUCGGGUUGUAAAACACUUUCAGCGGGGAAGAAGGCGAUACGGUUGAUAACCGUGUGGAUUGACCGUACCCUUACAAGAAGCCCCGGUCAACUCCGUGCC
RNAcentral lists this ribosomal RNA (156 nucleotides) under uncultured bacterium. RNAcentral describes it as "partial 16S rRNA". It matches the Rfam family "Bacterial small subunit ribosomal RNA", at positions 357 to 509 of the family's 1533-position model. The record is from RNAcentral.